CUCUUAUUCAGAGUGAUGGAGAGGUAAGGCUCGAUGAAGUCACGGCAACCCCUGUAAUCGGAAGGUGCCAACCUGAGCGAGUAAUCGAACAAUAAGAG
This 98-nucleotide non-coding RNA is filed under the name Herbinix luporum. RNAcentral's name for it is "SAM riboswitch aptamer (S box leader)". It matches the Rfam family "SAM riboswitch aptamer (S box leader)". From Rfam's summary of the family: The SAM riboswitch is found upstream of a number of genes which code for proteins involved in methionine or cysteine biosynthesis in Gram-positive bacteria. The SAM riboswitch acts at the level of transcription termination control. The predicted structure consists of a complex stem-loop region followed by a single stem loop terminator region. RNAcentral also lists the same sequence under 1 other name. Lineage: Bacteria; Bacillati; Bacillota; Clostridia; Lachnospirales; Lachnospiraceae. The record is from Rfam by way of RNAcentral.